UCCUCGUGUCGCAGCAUCCCCUUACGGCACCAGCCUGUGCCGGGGAAAGUUACGUAAGCUCCACCGAUAUAUAUACGUGUCAUACUGGGCAAUGCAUUAUACAGCAGACUGCCAUCCAACACUGCAUUUACAUCCUAUCAGGUCAAUCCAGCAGUAAAAGAUGAAAACUACAUUCGUGAUCGUCUUAGCCUUUGUGCUCCUGAUGGGAUCCUCCGCCCUGGUAUGUGAUGAGUGCAUGCAGAAGUUCCGCACGUGCCUGCCCCACUGUCAAGGGAUCGCAGUCACUAAUCGGUGUUAUUGUACCCGUAUAUGUUACAAGGCGGCACUCCUUUGUACCAGCACAUGCGCUAAUGUGGUUGGAUUCGCAGCCCUCAUUGGGGAGAUUGACGACUAGUUAUAGUAUCUUUGUGUUAUGUACACACACUUGUUUCAUUUAUGCUUCAAAAAAUAUCAAUCAAUUAAUAAAACAAAGUGUUCCUUCCAAACCUU
This is a long non-coding RNA of Mizuhopecten yessoensis (Yesso scallop), 489 nucleotides long. RefSeq lists it as uncharacterized. The record is from RefSeq and is a predicted model, not a curated record. Lineage: Eukaryota; Metazoa; Mollusca; Bivalvia; Pectinida; Pectinidae. The transcript has 2 exons.